GUGAAUCAUCGAAUUUUUGAACGCAAAUUGCACUCUCUGGUAUUCCGGAGAGUAUGCCUGUUCGAGGGUCAGUUUAAAUAAAAAUCGGUGUGUUUGCGGCCUUUCGUGGUGACGCACCGGAUUUGGGUCGUAUUGCCUUCGGUUAAGAUGCUUAACAUUUUGCAUGAUAUUUUUCUUGGGUAUUUAAAUGAUUUUACGUACGUUUACGUAAUCGAGUACUAAUGGCGGUCAUCG
RNAcentral lists this unclassified non-coding RNA (234 nucleotides) under Glomus sp. RNAcentral's name for it is "partial contains 5.8S ribosomal RNA and internal transcribed spacer 2". The stretch from base 1 to 71 matches the Rfam family "5.8S ribosomal RNA", at positions 84 to 154 of the family's 154-position model. The record is from RNAcentral. Lineage: Eukaryota; Fungi; Glomeromycota; Glomeromycetes; Glomerales; Glomeraceae.